RNAcentral lists this transfer RNA (87 nucleotides) under Candidatus Saccharimonadota bacterium. RNAcentral's name for it is "tRNA-Leu". It matches the Rfam family "tRNA". From Rfam's summary of the family: Transfer RNA (tRNA) molecules are approximately 80 nucleotides in length. Their secondary structure includes four short double-helical elements and three loops (D, anti-codon, and T loops). Lineage: Bacteria; Candidatus Saccharimonadota. The record is from RNAcentral.
GGGCGGAUGACGUAAUUGGUAGCCGUACUAGACUUAAAAUCUGGGGGUCUGACGACCGUGAGGGUUCAAGUCCCUCUCCGCCCACCA